GACGAACGCUGGCGGCGUGCUUAACACAUGCAAGUCGAACGGAAAGGCCCUGCUUUUGUGGGGUGCUCGAGUGGCGAACGGGUGAGUAACACGUGAGUAACCUGCCCUUGACUUUGGGAUAACUUCAGGAAACUGGGGCUAAUACCGGAUAGGAGCUCCUGCUGCAUGGUGGGGGUUGGAAAGUUUCGGCGGUUGGGGAUGGACUCGCGGCUUAUCAGCUUGUUGGUGGGGUAGUGGCUUACCAAGGCUUUGACGGGUAGCCGGCCUGAGAGGGUGACCGGCCACAUUGGGACUGAGAUACGGCCCAGACUCCUACGGGAGGCAGCAGUGGGGAAUAUUGCACAGUGGGCGGAAGCCUGAUGCAGCAACGCCGCGUGCGGGAUGACGGCCUUCGGGUUGUAAACCGCUUUCGCCUGUGAUGAAGCGUGAGUGACGGUAAUGGGUAAAGAAGCACCGGCUAACUACGUG
Molecule: ribosomal RNA, 468 nt
Filed under: uncultured bacterium
Lineage: Bacteria
Description: partial 16S ribosomal RNA
Rfam family: Bacterial small subunit ribosomal RNA
Source: RNAcentral